This 526-nucleotide ribosomal RNA is filed under the name uncultured bacterium. Its description in RNAcentral is "bacterial SSU rRNA". It matches the Rfam family "Bacterial small subunit ribosomal RNA", at positions 983 to 1509 of the family's 1533-position model. The record is from RNAcentral.
GACAUCCAGAGAACUUAGCAGAGAUGCUUUGGUGCCUUCGGGAACUCUGAGACAGGUGCUGCAUGGCUGUCGUCAGCUCGUGUUGUGAAAUGUUGGGUUAAGUCCCGNAACGAGCGCAACCCUUAUCCUUUGUUGCCAGCGGUUCGGCCGGGAACUCAAAGGAGACUGCCGGUGAUAAACCGGAGGAAGGUGGGGAUGACGUCAAGUCAUCAUGGCCCUUACGGCCAGGGCUACACACGUGCUACAAUGGCGCAUACAAAGAGAAGCGACCUCGCGAGAGCAAGCGGACCUCAUAAAGUGCGUCGUAGUCCGGAUUGGAGUCUGCAACUCGACUCCAUGAAGUCGGAAUCGCUAGUAAUCGUAGAUCAGAAUGCUACGGUGAAUACGUUCCCGGGCCUUGUACACACCGCCCGUCACACCAUGGGAGUGGGUUGCAAAAGAAGUAGGUAGCUUAACCUUCGGGAGGGCGCUUACCACUUUGUGAUUCAUGACUGGGGUGAAGUCGUAACAAGGUAAGCGUAGCGAG